CUACGGGUCGCAGCAGUGAGGAAUAUUGCGCAAUGGGGGAAACCCUGACGCAGCGACGCCGCGUGGAUGAUGAAGGCCUUAGGGUCGUAAAAUCCUGUCAGGUGGGAAGAAGUGGAUAUAGAUUAGUACUCUAUUUCUUUGACGGUACCACCAAAGGAAGCACCGGCUAACUCCGUGCCAGCAGCCGCGGUAAUACGGAGGGUGCAAGCGUUGUUCGGAAUUACUGGGCGUAAAGCGCGCGUAGGCGGUUUGUUAAGUCAGAUGUGAAAGUCCAUGGCUCAACUAUGGAAGUGCAUUUGAAAAUGGCAGACUUGAGUACUGGAGGGGGUGAUGGAAUUCCCGGUGUAGAGGUGAAAUUCGUAGAUAUCGGGAGGAAUACCGGUGGCGAAGGCGAUCACCUGGCCAGAUACUGACGCUGAGGUGCGAAAGCGUGGGGAGCAAACAGGAUUAGAUACCCGAGUAGUC
RNAcentral lists this ribosomal RNA (465 nucleotides) under uncultured bacterium. RNAcentral's name for it is "partial 16S ribosomal RNA". It matches the Rfam family "Bacterial small subunit ribosomal RNA", at positions 339 to 795 of the family's 1533-position model. The record is from RNAcentral.